GAUGAUUAUUUCGCAUAGUUGAUUUUUCGGAGAUUCAGAGUGCGGUAUUUGAUGGUACUACAACAGUGGGAUCAUUAUUUAGCUUAUGAGCUUUGGGCUAGGAUUGAGUUGUUGAUUUGCCUUAGGAGAAGAACUCUGAUUUUAUGAACAAAGUGGCUUAGAGAAGCUUCCAAGGAUAGGAAGAAUGAAGCAGACAUAAGAUAUACUCCCAUAUAACACUGAAAGAAUGAAUAUUUUGUUGAGUUUUCUUCUAACUUAAGCAAAGCUCACAUAAUGUUGUGUGUCAUUCAUCUCAAGUAUUCUCUGAAAAUAGAAUGUGCCCCUAUGCACGUUGAUGUUUGAUUUUUGAAGUAUAUAUACUUACACUUGAUGAAUAUGAACUUUAUUGUGGGUUUGAAGACUUUCAAGAGAUGCAGUUUUGAAGACAUAAUAUGUUCACGAGUUGGCUAUCAUUUUGCUAUGACUAUUGCUAGGACUAUUAGUGUUUUGCACUAAGCGAUUGUGUAAACAAUAUUA
Long non-coding RNA from Nicotiana tabacum (common tobacco), 516 nucleotides. RefSeq lists it as uncharacterized. The record is from RefSeq and is a predicted model, not a curated record. Lineage: Eukaryota; Viridiplantae; Streptophyta; Magnoliopsida; Solanales; Solanaceae.